Molecule: ribosomal RNA, 400 nt
Filed under: uncultured bacterium
Lineage: Bacteria
Description: bacterial SSU rRNA
Rfam family: Bacterial small subunit ribosomal RNA
Source: RNAcentral
GAAUAUUGGACAAUGGGGGCAACCCUGAUCCAGCGAUGCCGCGUGAGUGAAGAAGGCCUUAGGGUUGUAAAACUCUUUCACCUGUGACGAUGAUGACGGUAACAGGAGAAGAAGCACCGGCUAACUCCGUGCUAGCAGCCGCGGUAAGACGGAGGGUGCUAGCGUUGUUCGGAAUAACUGGGCGUAAAGGGCGCGUAGGCGGUUUUGUUAGUCAGGCGUGAAAGCCCCGGGCUUAACCUGGGAACUGCGUUUGAUACUGCAAGACUUGAGGACGGAAGAGGAAAGUGGAAUUCCUAGUGUAGAGGUGAAAUUCGUAGAUAUUAGGAGGAACACCAGAGGCGAAGGCGGCUUUCCGGUCCGUUACUGACGCUGAGGCGCGAAAGCGUGGGGAGCAAACAGG